RNAcentral lists this ribosomal RNA (254 nucleotides) under uncultured bacterium. RNAcentral's name for it is "partial 16S ribosomal RNA". It matches the Rfam family "Bacterial small subunit ribosomal RNA", at positions 524 to 776 of the family's 1533-position model. The record is from RNAcentral.
UACGUAGGGGGGCAAGCGUUGUCCGGAAUCAUUGGGCGUAAAGAGCGCGUAGGCGGCCCUGUAAGUCCGCUGUGAAAGUCAAGGGCUCAACCCUUGGAUGCCGGUGGAUACUGCAGGGCUAGAGUCCGGAAGAGGCGAGUGGAAUUCCUGGUGUAGCGGUGAAAUGCGUAGAUAUCGGGAGGAACACCUGUGGCGAAAGCGGCUCACUGGACCGCAACUGACGCUGAGGCGCGAAAGCUAGGGGAGCAAACAGG